GAAACUGCGAAUGGCUCAUUAAAUCAGUUAUAAUUUAUUUGAUAUUCACUUACUACUUGGAUAACCGUGGUAAUUCUAGAGCUAAUACAUGCGUACAUAACCUCGACUUCUGGAAGAGGUGCACUUAUUAGAUAAAAAGCCAACGCGGGCAACCGCUUGUAUGGUGAUUCAUAAUAAUUAAGCGAAUCGCAUGGCCUUGUGCCGGCGAUGAUGCAUUCAAAUUUCUGCCCUAUCAAGUUUCGAUGGUAGGUUAGUGGCCUACCAUGCUUUUAACGGGUAACGGGGAAUUAGGGUUCGAUUCCGGAGAGGGAGCCUGAGAAACGGCUACCACAUCCAAGGAAGGCAGCAGGCGCGCAAAUUACCCAAUCCCGACACGGGGAGGUAGUGACAAUAAAUAACAAUACAGGGCCUUUACGGGUCUUGUAAUUGGAAUGAGUACAAUUUAAAUCCCUUAACGAGGAACAAUUGGAGGGCAAGUCUGGUGCCAGCAGCCGCGGUAAUUCCAGCUCCAAUAGCGUAUAUUAAAGUUGUUGCAGUUAAAAAGCUCGUAGUUGAAUUUUGGCCUUGGGUGGUUUGGUUUGGCCUUCACUGGUCAAUGCCUUUUCCGCCUAGGUCUUACCUUCUGGGUUAGCUAGUGUUGCUUCGGUGGCGCUAGUGAACCAGAAC
Molecule: ribosomal RNA, 666 nt
Filed under: Umbelopsis sp.
Lineage: Eukaryota; Fungi; Mucoromycota; Umbelopsidomycetes; Umbelopsidales; Umbelopsidaceae
Description: SSU rRNA
Rfam family: Eukaryotic small subunit ribosomal RNA
Source: RNAcentral